RNAcentral lists this ribosomal RNA (496 nucleotides) under uncultured bacterium. Its description in RNAcentral is "partial 16S ribosomal RNA". It matches the Rfam family "Bacterial small subunit ribosomal RNA", at positions 28 to 506 of the family's 1533-position model. The record is from RNAcentral.
GACGAACGCUGGCGGCGUGCCUAAUACAUGCAAGUAGAACGCUGAAGAGAGGAGCUUGCUCUUCUUGGAUGAGUUGCGAACGGGUGAGUAACGCGUAGGUAACCUGCCUUGUAGCGGGGGAUAACUAUUGGAAACGAUAGCUAAUACCGCAUAACAAUAGGUGACACAUGUCAUUUAUUUGAAAGGGGCAAUUGCUCCACUACAAGAUGGACCUGCGUUGUAUUAGCUAGUAGGUGAGGUAACGGCUCACCUAGGCGACGAUACAUAGCCGACCUGAGAGGGUGAUCGGCCACACUGGGACUGAGACACGGCCCAGACUCCUACGGGAGGCAGCAGUAGGGAAUCUUCGGCAAAGGGGGCAACCCUGACCGAGCAACGCCGCGUGAGUGAAGAAGGUUUUCGGAUCGUAAAGCUCUGUUGUAAGUCAAGAACGAGUGUGAGAGUGGAAAGUUCACACUGUGACGGUAGCUUACCAGAAAGGGACGGCUAACUACGU